Molecule: ribosomal RNA, 253 nt
Filed under: uncultured bacterium
Lineage: Bacteria
Description: partial 16S ribosomal RNA
Rfam family: Bacterial small subunit ribosomal RNA
Source: RNAcentral
UACGAAGGGGGCUAGCGUUGCUCGGAAUUACUGGGCGUAAAGCGCACGUAGGCGGGUUCUUAAGUCGGUGGUGAAAUCCUGGAGCUCAACUCCAGAACUGCCUUCGAAACUGGGAAUCUUGAGUCCGGGAGAGGUGAGUGGAACUGCGAGUGUAGAGGUGAAAUUCGUAGAUAUUCGCAAGAGCACCAGUGGCGAAGGCGGCUCACUGGCCCGGUACUGACGCUGAGGUGCGAAAGCGUGGGGAGCAAACAGG